Molecule: non-coding RNA, 108 nt
Organism: Acanthosepion pharaonis
Lineage: Eukaryota; Metazoa; Mollusca; Cephalopoda; Sepiida; Sepiidae
Source: the annotation of a GenBank genome assembly
UUACGGUCACAUCACGUUGAAACACUGGUUUUCGUAAGAUCACCGAUGUUAAGCAAUGUUGAACCUGGUUUGUACCUAGAUGGGUGACCGCUUAGGAAUACCAAGCGC